GGUGCGUUAGUUCAGUUGGUUAGAAUAUCUGCCUGUCACGCAGGGGGUCACGGGUUCGAGUCCCGUACGCACCG
This 74-nucleotide transfer RNA is filed under the name Bacteroidales bacterium. RNAcentral describes it as "tRNA-Asp". It matches the Rfam family "tRNA". Rfam says of the family: Transfer RNA (tRNA) molecules are approximately 80 nucleotides in length. Lineage: Bacteria; Pseudomonadati; Bacteroidota; Bacteroidia; Bacteroidales. RNAcentral also lists the same sequence under 2 other names. The record is from RNAcentral.